Molecule: ribosomal RNA, 2906 nt
Filed under: Escherichia fergusonii
Lineage: Bacteria; Pseudomonadati; Pseudomonadota; Gammaproteobacteria; Enterobacterales; Enterobacteriaceae
Description: 23S ribosomal RNA
Rfam family: Bacterial large subunit ribosomal RNA
Source: RNAcentral
GGUUAAGCGACUAAGCGUACACGGUGGAUGCCCUGGCAGUCAGAGGCGAUGAAGGACGUGCUAAUCUGCGAUAAGCGUCGGUAAGGUGAUAUGAACCGUUAUAACCGGCGAUUUCCGAAUGGGGAAACCCAGUGUGAUUCGUCACACUAUCAUUAACUGAAUCCAUAGGUUAAUGAGGCGAACCGGGGGAACUGAAACAUCUAAGUACCCCGAGGAAAAGAAAUCAACCGAGAUUCCCCCAGUAGCGGCGAGCGAACGGGGAGGAGCCCAGAGCCUGAAUCAGUGUGUGUGUUAGUGGAAGCGUCUGGAAAGGCGCGCGAUACAGGGUGACAGCCCCGUACACAAAAAUGCACAUAUUGUGAGCUCGAUGAGUAGGGCGGGACACGUGGUAUCCUGUCUGAAUAUGGGGGGACCAUCCUCCAAGGCUAAAUACUCCUGACUGACCGAUAGUGAACCAGUACCGUGAGGGAAAGGCGAAAAGAACCCCGGCGAGGGGAGUGAAAAAGAACCUGAAACCGUGUACGUACAAGCAGUGGGAGCACGCUUCGGCGUGUGACUGCGUACCUUUUGUAUAAUGGGUCAGCGACUUAUAUUCUGUAGCAAGGUUAACCGAAUAGGGGAGCCGAAGGGAAACCGAGUCUUAACUGGGCGUUAAGUUGCAGGGUAUAGACCCGAAACCCGGUGAUCUAGCCAUGGGCAGGUUGAAGGUUGGGUAACACUAACUGGAGGACCGAACCGACUAAUGUUGAAAAAUUAGCGGAUGACUUGUGGCUGGGGGUGAAAGGCCAAUCAAACCGGGAGAUAGCUGGUUCUCCCCGAAAGCUAUUUAGGUAGCGCCUCGUGAAUUCAUCUCCGGGGGUAGAGCACUGUUUCGGCAAGGGGGUCAUCCCGACUUACCAACCCGAUGCAAACUGCGAAUACCGGAGAAUGUUAUCACGGGAGACACACGGCGGGUGCUAACGUCCGUCGUGAAGAGGGAAACAACCCAGACCGCCAGCUAAGGUCCCAAAGUCAUGGUUAAGUGGGAAACGAUGUGGGAAGGCCCAGACAGCCAGGAUGUUGGCUUAGAAGCAGCCAUCAUUUAAAGAAAGCGUAAUAGCUCACUGGUCGAGUCGGCCUGCGCGGAAGAUGUAACGGGGCUAAACCAUGCACCGAAGCUGCGGCAGCGACGCUUAUGCGUUGUUGGGUAGGGGAGCGUUCUGUAAGCCUGUGAAGGUGUGCUGUGAGGCAUGCUGGAGGUAUCAGAAGUGCGAAUGCUGACAUAAGUAACGAUAAAGCGGGUGAAAAGCCCGCUCGCCGGAAGACCAAGGGUUCCUGUCCAACGUUAAUCGGGGCAGGGUGAGUCGACCCCUAAGGCGAGGCCGAAAGGCGUAGUCGAUGGGAAACAGGUUAAUAUUCCUGUACUUGGUGUUACUGCGAAGGGGGGACGGAGAAGGCUAUGUUGGCCGGGCGACGGUUGUCCCGGUUUAAGCGUGUAGGCUGGUUUUCCAGGCAAAUCCGGAAAAUCAAGGCUGAGGCGUGAUGACGAGGCACUACGGUGCUGAAGCGACAAAUGCCCUGCUUCCAGGAAAAGCCUCUAAGCAUCAGGUAACAUCAAAUCGUACCCCAAACCGACACAGGUGGUCAGGUAGAGAAUACCAAGGCGCUUGAGAGAACUCGGGUGAAGGAACUAGGCAAAAUGGUGCCGUAACUUCGGGAGAAGGCACGCUGAUAUGUAGGUGAAGCGACUUGCUCGUGGAGCUGAAAUCAGUCGAAGAUACCAGCUGGCUGCAACUGUUUAUUAAAAACACAGCACUGUGCAAACACGAAAGUGGACGUAUACGGUGUGACGCCUGCCCGGUGCCGGAAGGUUAAUUGAUGGGGUUAGCGGUAACGCGAAGCUCUUGAUCGAAGCCCCGGUAAACGGCGGCCGUAACUAUAACGGUCCUAAGGUAGCGAAAUUCCUUGUCGGGUAAGUUCCGACCUGCACGAAUGGCGUAAUGAUGGCCAGGCUGUCUCCACCCGAGACUCAGUGAAAUUGAACUCGCUGUGAAGAUGCAGUGUACCCGCGGCAAGACGGAAAGACCCCGUGAACCUUUACUAUAGCUUGACACUGAACAUUGAGCCUUGAUGUGUAGGAUAGGUGGGAGGCUUUGAAGUGUGGACGCCAGUCUGCAUGGAGCCGACCUUGAAAUACCACCCUUUAAUGUUUGAUGUUCUAACGUUGGCCCGUAAUCCGGGUUGCGGACAGUGUCUGGUGGGUAGUUUGACUGGGGCGGUCUCCUCCUAAAGAGUAACGGAGGAGCACGAAGGUUGGCUAAUCCUGGUCGGACAUCAGGAGGUUAGUGCAAUGGCAUAAGCCAGCUUGACUGCGAGCGUGACGGCGCGAGCAGGUGCGAAAGCAGGUCAUAGUGAUCCGGUGGUUCUGAAUGGAAGGGCCAUCGCUCAACGGAUAAAAGGUACUCCGGGGAUAACAGGCUGAUACCGCCCAAGAGUUCAUAUCGACGGCGGUGUUUGGCACCUCGAUGUCGGCUCAUCACAUCCUGGGGCUGAAGUAGGUCCCAAGGGUAUGGCUGUUCGCCAUUUAAAGUGGUACGCGAGCUGGGUUUAGAACGUCGUGAGACAGUUCGGUCCCUAUCUGCCGUGGGCGCUGGAGAACUGAGGGGGGCUGCUCCUAGUACGAGAGGACCGGAGUGGACGCAUCACUGGUGUUCGGGUUGUCAUGCCAAUGGCACUGCCCGGUAGCUAAAUGCGGAAGAGAUAAGUGCUGAAAGCAUCUAAGCACGAAACUUGCCCCGAGAUGAGUUCUCCCUGACCCUUUAAGGGUCCUGAAGGAACGUUGAAGACGACGACGUUGAUAGGCCGGGUGUGUAAGCGCAGCGAUGCGUUGAGCUAACCGGUACUAAUGAACCGUGAGGCUUAACCUU